RNAcentral lists this long non-coding RNA (937 nucleotides) under Olea europaea subsp. europaea. The record is from RNAcentral. Lineage: Eukaryota; Viridiplantae; Streptophyta; Magnoliopsida; Lamiales; Oleaceae.
UGAAUCUUGGCGAUCCCCAUUUUGCCCAACAGUUGGCCCGCCUAUUCGAACUGCCCUCCAUCUUUAGAUCACAUUUUACUCACAUUAUCAACCUCAGUCAGAAAUAAUUUCAUUCCUUUUCUACAAUUUUGCGAAGAAAAGCAUGAAAGGCACAAAUAUCAGGCACCUAAAGAAUUAAAAAGAAAACGCGGGUGUCUAAUUAAACUUUCAAAUUCCCAGGAUCAUGAUCAAUUCUUCGGAAAAUAAUAGUCAACGGAGGCUGAUGACAUAUUACAUUUUCCAAUAAGAAAAUGAAAGCUAAAUCGAACAGCAGAUACCUGAAUAAGAUUAGUGGUAGGAUUACGGUGAGCUGAUAAUCUAGCAAUGCACUGAUUAAUAUCUGCACCUGGCUGCAUUUUUUCGCUUGAAUGAAUUAUUGUUGAAAGGUUGAAAGAAGUAAACUUUGGUUAUCAAACGCAAACAAGAAAGCUAGAUAUGAGAAGGGAAACCCUACACAACGUGUAUAUAAUAAUAGGGUGUUUAUACUGACCCCAUAAUUUUAGUUUUAGUUGCUUUUGCAUGGAAGGUGUCAAAGUUGGAAUAUAGGUUGCGACGUUUAUCACCUAUUGAAGCCAAUUGGGAUUUCACAUUAUUAUUUUUUAAGUCAUACGGGUAAACUAUAAAGCUUCUGUCAUGAACAUUACAAUCUUGUGAAGGUCUUUUUUAUGGAAAAGAUUUUCUGUGAAGAUUGAAAAUUUUCACUUUUCUUGCUGUAGAAAGAUUUUGUGCACAGUUAAUACUGCAACUGAUAAUCUGGGAGUGGAAGUAAUGCUGAAGUAGAACUCUAAGAAAUCUCAUGCGCCACUAAGACCUUAUGUAGUUCUGAAUUAAAUGUGGACCUCUUGCCUUUAUGUGUAGCCUGAGUGGGCAUAGUCUGAAAUUUUCUCUGAUUUCAAUA